Molecule: long non-coding RNA, 2621 nt
Filed under: Olea europaea subsp. europaea
Lineage: Eukaryota; Viridiplantae; Streptophyta; Magnoliopsida; Lamiales; Oleaceae
Source: RNAcentral
CUAAAAUGUGUAUAGAAUCUGGAAACAACUUGGUGGCAUAUGGAUGGACAGAAUGAUGGAGAAAGGUAAUGUCAUUGUAAUUUUUCGAAGUUGCACUAUUUCGAAACCUAUGUAUUUUCACUGCUCGGGCAAAUUUCUUAUUUCAUUUCUAAUAUUAUUGAAGCAAGAUUUCCAUGAACAUUUGAACAAUACUCAAAAUUAAUAUUGUCAUUUAAUAUGAUGCAGGAAAAGAGGUUGUGGAAGUAUUGGACAAUGAAGUUUUAGUAGAAUCCAAUAAUAACAACAAUACGGAGAAUGUCGUCAAUAAUACAAACAAUGUUGUCACAUUAGACGAUGAUAUCAUAGGAGGAGAUGGCGUGAUUGUGCCAAAUUGGUAUGGAGUUCAAAGAUGAGAAAGAGGUGUAUGAGUUUUAUAAGAGGUAUGCGUAUCACGUAGGUUUUCCGGUUAGGAGGAAGAAUUCUAGAAAGGGAGAAGAUGGAGUAGUGAAUUACGUUACGUUGACAUGUUGUCGUGAGGGCUGGAGAAGUAGUAAUGCAGGUGCUUCUUUGAAGCCGCAUCCAACAAUUCAGACAGGUUGCAAAGAAAGACUUACUGCUACUUCGAUAUUCGUCGAAUUUGGAAAAUUCGCACAAUUGAUCUCAAACACAAUCAUAAAACUAGUCCUUCAAAAUCCAGAUUGUAUCGUUGCAAUCGAGAAUUGAGUGCAAAUGUCAAACGCAAGCUCGAAGUGAACGAUAUGACUGGAAUACCUUUGCACAAGAGUUACAACUCAUCAGUUGUUGAAGCAGACGGGUAUGAGAACAUGACUUGCGUGGAAAAAGAUUGUCAAAAUUACAUUGAACAAGUGAGGCGAUUAAGACUCGGUGAAGGAGAUGUUGCGACAAUACAAUCCUACCUUUCACAAAUGCAAGCACAGUGCUUAGGUUUUUACUUCUAUAUGGAUUUAGAUGAAGAGUCACGGAUUAGGAAUCUCUUCUGGGCAGAUAAGAAGUGUAGGCAAGCAUAUAAGGAGUUCGGGGAUGCAGUGACGUUUGAUACCACUUAGCUCACAAAUAAAUACGGCAUGCCUUUUGCCCCCUUCCUUGGAGUAAGUCAUCAUGGACAAUCAACACUCUUUGGAUGUGGUUUGUUGGCAAAUGAAGAUACAUAUACAUUUGUUUGGCUAUUCAGGACAUGGAUGUAGUGUAUGCAUGGUCAAGCACCAAAUGGAAUCAUUACCGAUCAAGACAAGACUAUGCAAAAUGCAAUUGCGAUAGUCUUUCCAAAGUCGAGGUAUAGAUGGUGUUUGUGGCAUAUAUUGAAAAAGUUGCCGGAGAAGUUUGGGUACCACGUUCAGAAGGGCUCCAUUUUUUUGUCUAUACAUAGCUUAGUGUAUGAUACACAAGUCGUUGAGGAAUUCUAAGAAGGUUGGAAAGCUAUGCUUGAUACAUAUAACUUACAUAAGAAUGAUUGGUUGUUGGGGUUGUUUGAGAACAAGGGUCGUUGGGUGCCAUGUUAUUUAAAAACAACAUUUUAGGCGGAGAUGUCAAUAACUCAGCGCAGUGAGAGUAUGAAUGUGUUCUUCGAUGGUUAUGUGCAUUCUAAGAUAUCGUUGAAAUAGUUCGUCGAACAAUAUAAGCGAGCAUUACGAAAUAAAUUUGAGAAGGAAUUCCAAACAAAUUUCAAGUCUUACUCAUAGAUGGUAUUCUGUGCAACAAAAUAUGAAAUGGAAAAGCAAUUCCAGGUUGUUUAUACCAUUUCAAAAUUUUGGGGAUUUCAAGAUGAGAUAACUGGGAAUGUCUACUGCGAUAUGAUAUCUGCAUUUGAUAUAUGUUCGGAGAAGUUGUAUGAGGUUGAGGAGGAUGUCAUUUACAAAGAAAAUGUUAGAAAGAAAAAGUUUUCAGUCACAUUUCGAGCAGAGGAUUGCAAUGUUAUUUGCAGUUGCCACUUAUUCAAGUUUCGUAGCAUUUUGUGUAGACAUGACAUAUCAGUGUUGAUGCGUCAUGGCGUCACAUCACUAUUGGAGAGGAACAUAUUGAAGAGAUGGAGACGAGAUAUUAGUAGAGCCCACACGAGGGUUGUUGUGAAUUACUCCGGUUUGGUUAGCACUCCUAGCCAGUUGAGGUAUGAUAAAAUGGGUGAAGUGUUCGCGAUGUUGGCAAACAGUGCUGCCAACGAUGAAGAGCGAACUCGUGCGAUAAUAGAUUGGAUUCAAUCGUAGUCCAAAGACAUGAUGUCUACGAAGACGAGUUGGGUAAGUAAUAGCAUUUCGCAAUCUAAUUUGCAUUUAGGUUCGCAGCCUAGUUUGCAUUUAGAUUCACAAUCUAGAGCAUCACAUGACACUGGCAGUGGUACAAUACAAAAUCCUAAAUGUUCAAAAAGAAAGGAUGCACCAAAGAAACUUCGUCAUAAAAGCUCAUUGGAGUCAAGCUCAAAGGAAAAAAAAUGUUAUUUUUCUUUCACACAUUUUUAUCAUGUGUCGUACAUAAAUUUGAACGAAGUGAAAAUGUCAAUUAUUCUCAUGUCAUGCAGGCAGCAUCGACUUCCAGCAAAGGAUAGAGAUCGAGAGCAGCAAAAAACAAUCUUCGACCCGACACACCAUUCGUUCAGUCCUCGCCACAUGUACAAUAUUCAAUGAUGA